NNNNNNNNGGCCCUCCUGAAGCUGUGCGCUCAUCGAAGAGGACGACCUUCCCCAAAUAGAGGAGGCCUGGUCUUCGGUCAAGGGUAUAGGAGUAGCUGCCCUUCUCUGCUAGAACCUCCAAACAAGUGCUCAUGGCCCAGCCCUCAUUACAUCAAUCACAGCAAUACAUCUUCACACAGUGUACAAAUAU
Molecule: small nuclear RNA, 190 nt
Filed under: Neotoma lepida (desert woodrat)
Lineage: Eukaryota; Metazoa; Chordata; Mammalia; Rodentia; Cricetidae
Description: 7SK RNA
Rfam family: 7SK RNA
About the family: 7SK was discovered as an abundant small nuclear RNA in the mid-70s but a possible function has only recently been suggested. Two independent studies have found that 7SK RNA binds the CDK9/cyclin T complex (known as elongation factor P-TEFb). P-TEFb activates transcription by phosphorylating the C-terminal domain of RNA polymerase II.
Source: Rfam by way of RNAcentral